This 301-nucleotide ribosomal RNA is filed under the name uncultured bacterium. RNAcentral's name for it is "partial 16S ribosomal RNA". It matches the Rfam family "Bacterial small subunit ribosomal RNA", at positions 509 to 807 of the family's 1533-position model. The record is from RNAcentral.
CAGCCGCCGCGGGAAUACGGAGGGAGCUAGCGUUGUUCGGAAUUACUGGGCGUAAAGCGCGCGUAGGCGGUUACUCAAGUCAGAGGUGAAAGCCCGGGGCUCAACCCCGGAACUGCCUUUGAAACUAGGUGACUAGAAUCUUGGAGAGGUCAGUGGAAUUCCGAGUGUAGAGGUGAAAUUCGUAGAUAUUCGGAAGAACGCCAGUGACGAAGGCGACUGACUGGACAAGUAUUGACGCUGAGGUGCGAAAGCGUGGGGAGCAAACAGGAUUAGAUACCCCUGUAGUCCCUGUCUCUUAUAC